This 60-nucleotide transfer RNA is filed under the name Symplanella unipuncta. RNAcentral's name for it is "tRNA-Cys". The record is from RNAcentral. Lineage: Eukaryota; Metazoa; Arthropoda; Insecta; Hemiptera; Caliscelidae.
AGUCUUAAUUUUACUUAAAUUGCAAAUUUAAGAGGGUUUAAAAAAAAUAAACUAAGGCUU